GUUACAUUGUAACAAAAGUGGUGUAGCGGCUCCUCCGGCCCGCACCCCCAGGCCCACCCGCCACCAGCUGUCGUCGAUAUGGAACCCGUGGCCAGCAACAUCCAGGUCCUGCUGCAGGCAGCCGAGUUCCUGGAACGCCGGGAGAGAGAGGCUGAGCAUGGCUACGCGUCUCUGUGCCCGCACCGCAGUCCGGGCUCCGUCCACAGGAGAAGGAAGCGAUCCCCACAAGCUUCUGGCACGCCGGACAGUGGACGGUCUGUGCACAAUGAGCUGGAGAAGCGCAGGAGGGCCCAGCUGAAGCGGUGCCUGGAGCAGCUGAAGCAGCAGAUGCCCCUGGGAGCUGACUGUGCCCGAUACACUACACUGAGUCUCCUGCGCCGGGCCAGGAUGCACAUCCAAGGUGGCUGGAUAACACCCUCGCCGGAUAGCAGGCCUGUUUCUCACAUGGAGCUUGCCUGGCCUGGUUCUUGGAGGGAUGGUAUGCCCCUCAGAAGCUGGAGGAGCAAGAGCAGCGGGCCCGGCGGCUCAAGGAGAAGCUGCGCAGCCGGCAGCAGAGCCUGCGGCAGCAGCUGGAACAGCUCCGGGCGCCCCUAGGGGCAGGCGAGCGGGAGCGGGUAAGGGCAGACAGCCUGGACUCCUCGGGCCUCUCCUCCGAGCGCUCUGACUCAGACCAAGAGGAACUGGAGGUGGACGUGGAGAGCCUGGUGUUUGGGGGUGCAGAGGCCGAACUGCUGCCAGGCUUCCGUGCGGGUCGGGAGCACAGUUACUCACACGGUGGCGCCUGGCUAUGACCCUCGACACCCCAAAGCACACCUCUGCCCGCAGCCUGCCCUCCACCCCACUCUGCCAGGUAGGAGCCCUACCCCAAGCCUCAGGGGCUGCUUGGAGUCACCUCCAGUUGGAAUGGACUAAAAGGACGUUUGCGUGGGCACAGGCAGUCCCCUGCCCUGUGGUGCUGCCACAUCUCUCCUGGGAGCAGAGCCUGGCCUCCCUGAGCCCCACAGGCAGGCAAGGCAGGCAAGGCAGGCAGACAGGCAGUUUUGGCCUGAGCUGCUUUUCCAGGCAGUUUUUUGUAGCACUUGGCUCCGCUGUCCCCAUGGGGACAGGAAGCCUCUUGGGCCCUCAUGUUCCUUCCUGGACAAGGCCCCCUGGCCUUUGCCCCAUACUGUACAGUAUUUUCAUUAAAAGGCUCUUUCUUAACUUCC
Pteropus alecto (black flying fox) is the source of this 1205-nucleotide RNA transcript. It is a transcript of the gene named MAX dimerization protein 3, with no coding region annotated. The record is from RefSeq and is a predicted model, not a curated record. NCBI's taxonomy places the organism in Eukaryota, Metazoa, Chordata, Mammalia, Chiroptera, Pteropodidae. The transcript is spliced from 7 exons.